RNAcentral lists this ribosomal RNA (156 nucleotides) under uncultured bacterium. RNAcentral's name for it is "partial small subunit ribosomal RNA". It matches the Rfam family "Bacterial small subunit ribosomal RNA", at positions 335 to 507 of the family's 1533-position model. The record is from RNAcentral.
ACUCCUACGGGAGGCAGCAGUGGGGAAUUUUCCGCAAUGGGCGCAAGCCUGACGGAGCAAGACCGCGUGGGGGAGGAAGGCUCUUGGGUUGUAAACCCCUUUUCUCAGGGAAGAAGAAUGACGGUACCUGAGGAAUCAGCCUCGGCUAACUCCGUG